UUGGGGUGUGUUGGUUAGUGUUUGGGAAGAGAAUAGAGGGUGUGAGAGGCAUGAUAUACUGAGCUGGCCACAGAUUUUGCAGAAUCUUACACUCUGAAAAACUUUGCCUGCAGAUCCCUUUCCUAAGCAUGAGAAACCUGUUUCAAGGAUGUUUACGAGGUGCCACCCAUCUUUGUGAAGGUUGCCAAUGCCUGCUACCAAACUCCACACAUAUUUUUAGCCCCGGAUUGUUGUUAUUCUAGUGUACUAAGUUGCAGGUUUUAUCUGAAACGGCAACUCUUGUCAGUUGGUUGAGUGUAACCUCUCAGAUAGCAGUACAUUCUCUUAACAGUGCGACGUUUACCUUUGUAGCAUUUUUAAAGCUGUUGUUGUUUUGGUUAACUUAAAUAUUUUCCUCUUAACUCAUUGAUGUGUAUUGGGUAGAAUUAGGCCCAUUAACGUCAGUCUGUGUUGACAUGACGUCAUGAUUGACUUGACUCAGGUUUUUGUUUGCCAUCCCUCUUGAUGGGUGUGUUUCUCAGUGUGUGGUAGCCACUAUUUGUGUGCCUGCAGUGCAGGUACAGUAUGUUUACUGAAUGUAUUUGUACAGGUGUUUGUAGUGCUCUCCAUUGUGUUUGUGUUUAUGUUGCUUUGUGUCUAUUGUGCCAAAACAGACAAAGUGUUUUUGCUGUUUGUAAGUGUCUUUCCUGUAUUUAAAGGAGUCUGCCAUUGUCUCGGCUGCUCACAUCUUUGUGUAGGCGCACCCAGACUAUUGUACUACCACUGGACGUGGCGCUGGCAUUGCUGCUGAUAUGGAGCUUAUUGCAAGUGAUUGUUCUCGCACAGAUGAGAGUUCAUCACAACAGGGGUCUGCAGCAAAGCAUUCAGACAUAGAGUGGGCCCUUUACCUGCCUCCACCAGCCGCCUGCGAGAGAUAAGGUCACCUUAGGACCCUGUGUGGACCCCCUCCAUCUUCGCAGCAUCCUCAUCCUCCUCAGCCUGCCACAACCUCACCCGUCUAGUAAAACAAACCAAACAAUAGAGGUAGAUAUGUGAGGAUUAGAGGUCAGAGGGUUGGGGAAUGCGACAUCUCCAUUUCCAGGAUCAAUCUUCACCCGCUUGGUAAUCUCUGGCCCUAGGCCCCACAUACCUCCAGUGGUCUCUCUGGCUGAAGCACUGGCAUUGCCAGGCGGUGUGAGCUGGUGCUCCUGCUGGGUGUGGGGUGCUGAUAGUAAAGUGUGUGUGCAGGGGGUGGGGGGUUAUAACCUGAUAUUCUGGAUGGAUGAAAGAGCAGUGGGACGGGUAACAAUGGGUCCUCGCUCUGUAUACCCAAACCUCACCGUAAUCCGCAGUGAUAGAUGCAUGUGUGUGUGUAUAUUUGCACAUGUAUGACUUAGUAGUUAUUGUUAACGUUUGCAUGUGUACUUUGUGUGCGCGCACGUCCGUAAAGUUAGUUUUAAUCUGUAAAUUUGUAAAUGUGAAAUAACUUUGAGUUCUUCAGAGCAAACUGAAUAUUAUCCCCAAGUUCCCGUUGUUAUCUUGUGUACACACAUUUGUUUAUUUGAUACAGCCCCUCUCCACUACAGCACUUCUGUAUAUCAAAGACAGCAGUGCAGAGCGUAAUUGAAAAUGGCUACCGUGGAGAAAGGUCUCUCUCUGCUUGACUGCGAAGAGGCAGAAAAAGCCCCAUUCUCCGCUCCCUUCUUAGAUCUAUUUAAAUAAUUGAGGAGUAAACUGACAAAUUAGGCACCUUUAUGGACGCCCCUGGGCUCUCUCUGGGGUCCUUCAGUUUCCUCAAUACAAGAGAGCGCCACCAGGCACAGGAUAAUAUCUCUGUGUGCUUUGGGGGGUGGGGGAGUCCAGGAGGGGUUUCGCCAAUCAAGCGGGCCACACUUCCUCCCCCAGGUUCUAAUUUUGUGCCACAUUAAAGAGCUCGGCCUCCAUUUAGGACACAGAGAGGCAUUUUCAUAAUUUGCCGGGUCUCUCGACUAGCUCGGGGUGCCUUUUUUCCUCUCUCUCCUCCCUCUCUCUCUCACUCCGUGUCUGAAUGGAAGGCCUGGGGAGGAAGAGGGGUAAUUCAUUCGCCUCCUUUCAACCAACCCGCUUCAGUUCUGCAUAAUGUUGCUUCUAGUGAUUACAGGGGCCUGCGGGCCUGGCGGCGGCUCCGUGGCUGGGACAGGGAGCUUCUCCCUGGGCAAGGAGAUAUGCCUGUCUGCCCCUUCUGCUGGAGCUACAGGGACCAGGAUGUCAGGAGGGAGACUGCUCCCUGGGUCUGUGUGUUUAUGUGCUGAGGAGGUCAAGAGUGUGGAGGAGCCAGCAGGGGGGCAGUGAUCAACAGUCUGGGGCUCCCCUGCCGAGGGGCUCUGGGAUUAGGGCUAAACCCUGCCCUGCCAGAUGGGCACAACACAUCCCCAACAUCAAACACCAGCAACUGGAAAUAAGCAACUGGAAACACGGUUAUACUCACUGGACUACACAGAACGGCGGCAGGAGAGGCGACUGAGAUGAGGUACUCUUCAAAGUGUCAGCCAGUGGACAGUAUGACCAGUCAGCAGGUUCAAGGGUCGGCAAAGUUGUGUAAGAAGCUUAAAGGAGGUCUGUCCAUCCCGAGCACUUCACAAGAAGUUUGAACGACCUGAAAUUUCCACGAGGAAGUUUGAUCCUUAUAAUCCAAGCAAUCGGCAUUGAAGUUCAGCUUCCACGACGCCGCUUGGUCCUU
Long non-coding RNA from Thunnus maccoyii (southern bluefin tuna), 2698 nucleotides. RefSeq lists it as uncharacterized. The record is from RefSeq and is a predicted model, not a curated record. NCBI's taxonomy places the organism in Eukaryota, Metazoa, Chordata, Actinopteri, Scombriformes, Scombridae. The transcript is spliced from 6 exons.